UGGAUUCCCCUAGUAACUGCGAGUGAAGCGGGAAAAGCUCAAAUUUAAAAUCUGGCAGUCUUUGGCUGUCCGAGUUGUAGUCUGGAGAAGCGUUUUCCGUGCUGGACCGUGUACAAGUCUCUUGGAACAGAGCGUCAUAGAGGGUGAGAAUCCCGUCUUUGACACGGACUACCAGUGCUUUGUGAUGCGCUCUCAAAGAGUCGAGUUGUUUGGGAAUGCAGCUCAAAAUGGGUGGUAAAUUCCAUCUAAAGCUAAAUAUUGGCGAGAGACCGAUAGCGAACAAGUACCGUGAGGGAAAGAUGAAAAGCACUUUGGAAAGAGAGUUAAACAGUACGUGAAAUUGCUGAAAGGGAAACGCUUGAAGUCAGUCGCGUCUGCUAGUACUCAGCCUGCCUUUUGGUUGGUGCAUUUAUUAGUAUACGGGCCAGCAUCAGUUUUGGCUGCGGGAUAAAGGUCAGAGGAAUGUGGCACCUUCGGGUGUGUUAUAGCCUCUGGUCAUAUACCGUGGCUGGGACUGAGGAUCUCAGCACGCCUUUAUGGCGGGGGUUCGCCCACCUUUCGUGCUUAGGAUGCUGGCGUAAUGGCUUUAAACGACCCGUCUUGAAACACGGACCAAGGAGUCUAACAUGCCUGCGAGUGUUUGGGUGGAAAACCCGAGCGCGAAAUGAAAGUGAUAGUUGGGACCUCUGUCGUGGAGGGCACCGACGCCCGGACCAGACCUACUGUGACGGAUCCGCGGUAGAGCAUGUAUGUUGGGACCCGAAAGAUGGUGAACUAUGCCUGAAUAGGGUGAAGCCAGAGGAAACUCUGGUGGAGGCUCGUAGCGAUUCUGACGUGCAAAUCGAUCGUCAAAUUUGGGUAUAGGGGCGAAAGACUAAUCGAACCAUCUAGUAGCUGGUUCCUGCC
RNAcentral lists this ribosomal RNA (906 nucleotides) under Cremeoderma unicum. Its description in RNAcentral is "Phlebia unica partial large subunit ribosomal RNA". It matches the Rfam family "Eukaryotic large subunit ribosomal RNA", at positions 71 to 962 of the family's 3401-position model. The record is from RNAcentral. Lineage: Eukaryota; Fungi; Basidiomycota; Agaricomycetes; Polyporales; Phanerochaetaceae.